AGAUUUUAAUAAAUUUUUCUUUUCUUAAUUAUCUUCGACCGUUUGAAAUCAGAAUCCCUUAACUGAAGGGGGAUUCUAUCUAAUUGAUUGCAAACUAUUUUCUUACCUUUUCUUACUUGUUUUCUACACUAUAAAAGGGGCACGACCCUUUUGCACUCAUACCAUCUCGAACCUUUAAUUCAACACCUUCAACUUACCUUGCUCAUACACUUACAAUUCAUUACUUCUUUGAGUUCAAUACUCGAGCACACAUUAUUCACUUGCAGUUUGAAUACUCUUGCAACAUUCUGCUCUCUGCUGAGAUCCUUUGGACUGUUUGCCUGCAACUUGGUUUUUCUCAAGACUACUAUUUUACUUGUUUGUUUCCCUGAAACUGGUAUGUUCUAAUUUAACUUUUCAAUUUCACCCCUAUGUGUGUACUUUAUAGUUUCAGCAUUCUUGUUUACUUUGUUGUUAUGUUCAAUAUUUACUAUGCAUGUCCUUCUCUCUGCAUCUGCUGUUUGUUGUGAAUUCCCCAUACCCCUACUCCUUUCUAUGUGUUUGAGUUAAGAUUCAUGGCCUAGAAGUAUUCAAAUUACUGCUCAGGACAGAACCAGAUCCUCAGUAAGUCCUAACUCCUAAAUCUGGCUAACAGGCUGGUCAAGGGUGUGCCAGCACUCCUAAUUGCUGAGCAUGACCACCAGCCUACCAGGACCUUCCCAGAAUCCCUUCUAUUUCACUUACACUGAUUCAUUGUUUCUAAGUUCUGCCCCCUCCCAUGAGCCUUGCUUUGGGACCUUGAGUUCCCUCUGAACUUGGACAUUUAAGGGCUGCCCUUUCAUACUGCACUUUAAUCAGUUCUAUAAUGUAUUUGGGUGUAAGCAUAGCCCGGAGUCCACUUGAGGCUCUUGGGAACUUUAACACACCCAAAAAUGAGAAAGACUGUGGAAAUUCUGAUCUUCAAAGUUGAUUCAUCUCAUAUUUACACCUUGAGUCUGAAUUAGGUGCCUUGAUUGUAGUUUAAGUUCUGAUGUAAUUUUACUUUUGUCUGUAAUAAUUUGUAAUAACUUAUGGGGUAUAUAGUGAAAAAAUAUGGGGGGUCGCUCAUGUAUGUAUAUGGGUAGACAUCAUCUUCUUUGGAUUUUAUUCCUAUACCCUGUCUAUUGUUCUUUAUCUAUGCAUGCCAUAUAGAAAUCCUGCUUAUAGACCUUUAUUUAUGCAUUUC
This 1204-nucleotide long non-coding RNA is filed under the name Nicotiana benthamiana. Its description in RNAcentral is "long non-coding RNA (NBEN_LNC009171)". The record is from RNAcentral. Lineage: Eukaryota; Viridiplantae; Streptophyta; Magnoliopsida; Solanales; Solanaceae.